GUACUGAUGAAGAGGCCCAGACUAGGACGAAACAGCUGUCCAGUAC
This is a non-coding RNA of Trichobilharzia regenti, 46 nucleotides long. NCBI's taxonomy places the organism in Eukaryota, Metazoa, Platyhelminthes, Trematoda, Strigeidida, Schistosomatidae. The record is from Rfam.